Molecule: ribosomal RNA, 413 nt
Filed under: uncultured bacterium
Lineage: Bacteria
Description: bacterial SSU rRNA
Rfam family: Bacterial small subunit ribosomal RNA
Source: RNAcentral
GGGCCCGCACAAGCGGUGGAGCAUGUGGUUUAAUUCGAUGAUACGCGAGGAACCUUACCAGGACUUAAAUGUAAGUUGCAUGAUUCAGAAAUGAAUCUUUCUUCGGACUACUUACAAGGUGCUGCAUGGUUGUCGUCAGCUCGUGCCGUGAGGUGUCAGGUUAAGUCCUAUAACGAGCGCAACCCCUAUCGUUAGUUGCCAUCAAGUAAAGUUGGGAACUCUAGCGAAACUGCCGGUGCAAACCGAGAGGAAGGUGGGGAUGACGUCAAAUCAUCACGGCCCUUACGUUCUGGGCUACACACGUGCUACAAUGGUCGGUACAGAAAGCAGCCACUAUGCGAAUAGGAGCUAAUCUUCAAAGCCGAUCACAGUUCGGAUCGGAGUCUGCAACUCGACUCCGUGAAGCUGGAAUC